GGGUAAAUAAUGAAAGCUUAUAUUGUCUUGAAGAGAGCUAAUGACUAAAAAUUAUGCUCAGUUGGAUUACACUGAGGCCC
Small nucleolar RNA from Mustela putorius furo (domestic ferret), 80 nucleotides. Its record names the gene SNORD115. It matches the Rfam family "Small nucleolar RNA SNORD115". Rfam says of the family: HBII-52 is a member of the C/D class of snoRNAs, which contain the C (UGAUGA) and D (CUGA) box motifs. HBII-52 is encoded in a tandemly repeated array with another C/D snoRNA, HBII-85, in the Prader-Willi syndrome (PWS) region of chromosome 15. Lineage: Eukaryota; Metazoa; Chordata; Mammalia; Carnivora; Mustelidae. The record is from Ensembl.